GUCAAACUGAUGCAGAGGUUGGAUGCUGUGGCUCUUGGAGGGAGGCUGGAGGUGACCUGUUCCAAGGAAUUGUAGCAGCACAGCCUCAGGAAUGAAGAAAUCAUCCAGGCUCUGAGUGUGGGUGAAAUGUUUGAAGGGAGAGUGUUUGGAGAGUGACAGAAGCAGGGAGUCAGUGGGAAGGUGGGAGGAAGAAGCUGGCAACUCUACAGGGAAUUGCUUGGAGCUCUGGUUGUACCUGCUGAGGGGUAUUUUCCUUUAAAAUUUGCUCAGGUAUGGGACUUUGUGCUGCAAGGUCUUGGGCUGCUGGCAAAGAACAUCAUGAGAGUCUGUCUAUAACCAGCCAUGAGACAAGAGUCAUCCAGUGGAAGCACUGACAGGAGAAAGACACUUAUGGGG
RNAcentral lists this long non-coding RNA (396 nucleotides) under Cyanistes caeruleus (blue tit). Its description in RNAcentral is "lncRNA (ENSCCEG00000003150.1)". The record is from RNAcentral. Lineage: Eukaryota; Metazoa; Chordata; Aves; Passeriformes; Paridae.